This 253-nucleotide ribosomal RNA is filed under the name uncultured bacterium. Its description in RNAcentral is "partial 16S ribosomal RNA". It matches the Rfam family "Bacterial small subunit ribosomal RNA", at positions 524 to 776 of the family's 1533-position model. The record is from RNAcentral.
UACGUAGGGUGCGAGCGUUGUCCGGAAUUAUUGGGCGUAAAGGGCUCGUAGGCGGUUUGUCACGUCGGGAGUGAAAACUCGGGGCUCAACCCCGAGCCUGCUUCCGAUACGGGCAGACUAGAGGUAUGCAGGGGAGAAUGGAAUUCCUGGUGUAGCGGUGAAAUGCGCAGAUAUCGGGAGGAACACCGGUGGCGAAGGCGGUUCUCUGGGCCUGUACUGACGCUGAGGAGCGAAAGCGUGGGGAGCGAACAGG